RNAcentral lists this ribosomal RNA (440 nucleotides) under uncultured bacterium. Its description in RNAcentral is "partial 16S ribosomal RNA". It matches the Rfam family "Bacterial small subunit ribosomal RNA", at positions 338 to 795 of the family's 1533-position model. The record is from RNAcentral.
CCUACGGGUGGCAGCAGUGAGGGAUAUUGGUCAAUGGGGGAAACCCUGAACCAGCAACGCCGCGUGAGGGAAGACGGUUUUCGGAUUGUAAACCUCUGUCCUCGGUGAAGAGAAUGACGGUAGCAGAGGAGGAAGCUCCGGCUAACUACGUGCCAGCAGCCGCGGUAAUACGUAGGGAGCAAGCGUUGUCCGGAUUUACUGGGUGUAAAGGGGGCGUAGGCGGCUUUGCAAGUCAGAAGUGAAAUCCAUGGGCUUAACCCAUGAACUGCUUUUGAAACUGCAGAGCUUGAGUGGAGGAGAGGUAGGCGGAUUUCCCGGUGUAGCGGUGACAUGCGUAGCGAUCGGGAGGAACACCAGUGGCGAAGGCGGCCUACUGGGCUCUAACUGACGCUGAGGCACGAACGCGUGGGUAGCAAACAGGAUUAGAUACCCUUGUAGUC